This 291-nucleotide long non-coding RNA is filed under the name Medicago truncatula (barrel medic). Its description in RNAcentral is "long non-coding RNA (MTRU_LNC000263)". Lineage: Eukaryota; Viridiplantae; Streptophyta; Magnoliopsida; Fabales; Fabaceae. The record is from RNAcentral.
CUAUUCUGCUUACUGACAUGUAGACACUGAUACUACAAACCGCAUUACCCCUCCUCUCCACAAUUUGUAUGCAUGAGUUUGCGUAAAGAAAAAAUAUGAUUGAAACGGCUCAAUACAAACCACAUUUAAUCACAUAGGAGCAUAUCAAUAUUUUUUUUAUGAAACAAUUCAAUCCAAAUUAAACCACAUGUCAUUUUAAUAUUCAAAUCAGAUGAUUUUUUCUUACAAAAUCGAUUCAAAUCAAUCUGUAAUCACUGGUUUUCACCAAUAAGGGCAACAACAAAAUCAAAC